RNAcentral lists this transfer RNA (73 nucleotides) under Planctomycetaceae bacterium. RNAcentral describes it as "tRNA-Glu". It matches the Rfam family "tRNA". Rfam says of the family: Transfer RNA (tRNA) molecules are approximately 80 nucleotides in length. Their secondary structure includes four short double-helical elements and three loops (D, anti-codon, and T loops). The record is from RNAcentral. Lineage: Bacteria; Pseudomonadati; Planctomycetota; Planctomycetia; Planctomycetales; Planctomycetaceae.
GGCCCCAUCGUCUAGAGGCCUAGGACACGGGCUUUUCAAGCCUGCAACCGGGGUUCGAAUCCCCGUGGGGUCA